RNAcentral lists this ribosomal RNA (598 nucleotides) under uncultured euryarchaeote. RNAcentral describes it as "bacterial SSU rRNA". It matches the Rfam family "Archaeal small subunit ribosomal RNA", at positions 860 to 1478 of the family's 1478-position model. Lineage: Archaea; Methanobacteriati; Methanobacteriota. The record is from RNAcentral.
AGGAAUUGGCGGGGGAGCACUACAACGGGUGGAGCCUGCGGUUCAAUUGGAUUCAACGCCGGAAAGCUUACCGGGUCAGACAGCAAUAUGAAGGUCAAGCUAAAGACUUUACCGAAUUCGCUGAGAGGAGGUGCAUGGCCGUCGCCAGUUCGUAUCGUGAGACAUCCUGUUAAGUCAGGCAACGAGCAAGACCCGUGCCCACAGUUGCCAGCAUACCCUCCGGGGUGAUGGGCACACUGUGGGGACCGCCGCUGCUAAAGCGGAGGAAGGUGCGGGCUACGGUAGGUCAGUAUGCCCCGAACCAUCCGGGCUACACGCGGGCUACAAUGGUUGGGACAAUGGGCACCUACACCGAGAGGUGAUGGUAAUCUCCUAAACCCAGCCUUAGUUCGGAUUGAGGGCUGCAACUCGCCCUCAUGAAGCCGGAAUCCGUAGUAAUCGCGUAUCAAUAUCACGCGGUGAAUACGUCCCUGCUCCUUGCACACACCGCCCGUCAAACCAUGCGAGUGAGGUCUGAAUGAGGGCACGCUUUUUGGCGUGUUCGAAUUUGGGCUUCGCGAGUGGGGUUAAGUCGUAACAAGGUAACCUCAGUCAGUCA